This 3390-nucleotide long non-coding RNA is filed under the name Mus spicilegus (steppe mouse). RNAcentral describes it as "lncRNA (ENSMSIG00000005162.1)". The record is from RNAcentral. Lineage: Eukaryota; Metazoa; Chordata; Mammalia; Rodentia; Muridae.
AUGGAGACCCCUUACCUGUACGGAGUCCUGUUCGCAAUCUCCACUGACACAGCUGCCCUGCCUCGCCUGCCAGAGAGCUCUGGAAGAGGUGACAGGCGCUGGCAGCCUGGGGUGUUGGGAGGGGGCGGGGCCAGGGCGGACCAGAGAACAGGAGGGGGAGCUCUGGGGAAGAGUGGGAACCGUGGAGCAGGCACGUUUAUCACAGCCAUUGUGUCACGUAGAGGGAGCAGUCACACAGUUAUGGUUCCCCCCUCCCCCAGGCCACAGAACACACUAUGCCAGCCAGCCACUUACACAGCCUCUCACGCUGCCUCACACAGGAUCCCAACUGCUGAGCAGGAGAGCGACAGAGACUCACAGAGUGAGACUCCGGACAAGCGGCUGUGUGCCCUGGGACGUGGACACUUCACAUAUGUGUAAACACAGCCUAUAAUCUUAAUUACCACUGCCUUUCUGUUGUCAUUGUUUGGUGUAUAUGUAUGUCAUUGUAUAUGUGUGUACGUGUACAUGUGUAUGCGUGAAGGACCAGAGAACAACCUCUGAUGUGAUUCUUUUUUUUUUUUUUAAUUAUUAUAUGUAAGUACACUGUAGCUGUCUUCAGACACUCCAGAAAAGGGAGUCAGAUCUUGUUAAGGAUGGUUGUGAGCCACCAUGUGGUUGCUGGGAUUUGAACUCCGGACCUUCGGAAUGGCAGUCGGAUGCUCUUACCCACUGAGCCAUCUCUCCAGCCCCUCUGAUGUGAUUCUUAAGUGUUGUCUACUUCCUUUGAUUUGGUCUUUCAAGACAAGAUUUCUCUGUGUAGCCCUGGCUGUCCUUGAACUCAUUACAUAAACCUGGCUGCCCUUGAAUGCAGAGAUCUGCCUGCCUCCGACUCCUUGGUACUGGGAUUACAAGCAUACACUACCCAGCUUAAUUUAUCUUGCUGCAUGCAUAACAAGGACUUUACCAAGUGAACCAUUGCUCCAAUCCCUGAUUUGUCUUUCUUUGUUUUAAUUUUAUGUGCAUGCAUGGAGGCAUGUGUACCAUAUUCGUGCAGUACCUGAGGAGGCCAAUAGAGGGCACUAGAUCCCCUAGAACUGGAGUUACCCAUGGUUGUGAGUCUCCCCAUGGGUGCUGAGAACUGAAUUCUGGAUCCUCCUGUAAUGUUUUUUUUUUUUUUUUUUUUUUGUUUUUUUUUUUUUGUUUUUUUUGGUUUUUCGAGGCAGGGUUUCUCUGUGUAGCCCUGGCUGUCCUGGAACUCACUCUGUAGACCAGGUUGGCCUCGAACUCAGAAAUCCGCUUGCCUCUGCCACCCGAGUGCUGGGAUUAAAGGUGUGUGCCACCACACCCGGCUCCUGAAGUGUUCUUAACUGCCAUUUCUCCAGUCCUGUUUCGUUUGUGGUUUUGGUGUGUGUGUGUGUGUGUGUGUGUGUGUGUGUGUGUGUGUGUGUGUGUUUUAAGAAAACAGAGUCUCAUUCUAUAACCGAGGUGAUCUCCAACCUUGGAUCUCCUGCCUCAGCUUUUCAAGUGCUGAGAUUCAGAUUUCAGUGGCACAGGCUCAUGCAAUGACCACAUCUGGCUCCACAUUUGGCAGCAGCGCUAUCAAUCACUCGAUAGCCGCAACUGGUCUGUGUCCCUCAGGAGGACUGGACAUCCGGAGCAGAGCUUCAAGCAAUGAGUGUCCAGGACAUAAAUGUGCCUGGCUGUGUGGUGAUGCGCACACACAUUCAAUCCUCUCACAACCCAAGCUGAAACACACACGCACACACACACACACAACACACACUGUGCUGAGUGGCCACAUCUGAAAACACUGUCCCUUGUGACAUACAUCACAAUCCCCCAGAGACUAUACUGUGUGUAACAGCAUAAACUCCUCAGGGAACACCAAGAUGCCCAUUCUCUCAUUGUCACACCCAGUUUUGUAUGAGCAGACAACCAUACCAUUGUUCCAUCUACACUCACAAACCACAGACAUUCUACAGGGAUUCCAGGGAUGGAAUUUAGGUCUUCAGACUUGAUGGCGGUCACCUUUAACCACUGAACUACCUUGUCGGCUAAUGUCUCCAUUUGUCCCAAGCUAGCUUUGAACUCAUCAUCCUGUUUUGAUGCUGGAAUGAAACCCUGGUUCUUGUGCAUGGUAGGCAAGCACUCUAAUGGUUCACUGUGCUCCCAGCCCCUCACUGGGGGAUUCUAGGCAGGGGCUCUACCACUGAGCCACACCCCCAGCCCCUCACUGGGGGAUUCUAGGCAGGGGCUCUACCACUGAGCCACACCCCCAGCNNNNNNNNNNAGCGGCUCACUUGGGGGAGUCUCUUGCCUCACUUCCCAGAAGAUUAACUUACAUUUGGGGGCCACCACUCUCAUCUUAAGUAUGACCCUUCCCGGCCUCACAGCCAGUCACACGGUCACGUGUCCACACAUUGUGAACCCUACUGUCACACAUUAACAUCCAGUCUUGAAAUGGUCCCAUAGUUACAGGAACCUAUAUAUCACCCACAUCUUUACAACCUCUACUUCCAGGAUCUUCCAUCACCCCAGAUAUAGGGAACAUCUGCCCGUGGAAUGUAGGAUGGGGAAAUUUGGAGCCCAGCAGUGUCUCCUGCUCAAUACACAUAGCCAGUUCAAGCUGCUUGCUUGCUCCCAUGGGACCUGUGUGAUAAGUGGGCCAGAGGCAAGCCUGCCCAUUUUGCAGAGGACAAGCUGAGGCCCAGAGGCCCCAGGAAGGGCAGGGAAUGGCCUGAGGUCCACAUCAGAAGCAGGGAGCAGAGAGAAUGGGGGGGCGGGGUGAGGGUCCUUACCGCCUGGCCCCUGGGGACCUCUCUGCUCUCUGCUCCACAUUCCUGGCGUCCUGUAGAUCCUGGGAAAGUAUCUGUCCCUGAAGUGGAGCUUGAAGAGGGUCUGAAAUUGAAGAGCACCUCGUGGACAGCUGGGGCUGGAUCCUGCCGGGCUUUAAGAGGGCAUGAAGGUCACUGGACUGGAGAGGGAGGAAGGGGAUGGGACUGCGGUGGUAAGAGGGUAGGAAAAGAACUUGAGACCCAGAAAGAUAAGAAGCAGAGAGAGGUCAGGCGAUGGUAGUGCCUUUGAUCCCAGCACUAAAGAGGCAGAGGCAGAAGCAGAUGGAUCUCUGUGAGUUUGAGGCCAGCCUGGUCUUCAGAGAGAAUUCCAGAACAGCCAGAACUACACAGAAACUCUGUUUCAAAAAACAAAAUAAGGGAGCUGGAGAGAUGGCUCAGCAGUUAAGAGCACUGGCUGCUCUUCCAGAGGUCCUGAGUUCAAUUCCCAACAACCACAUGGUGGCUCACAACCAUCUAUAAUGGGAUCCAAUGCCCUCUUUGGAGACAUUCUGAAGACAACAACCGUGUACUCAUAAAUUAAGUAAAUAAAACUUUAAAAAAAAAAAGAAAAACA